Molecule: ribosomal RNA, 805 nt
Filed under: uncultured Bacteroidota bacterium
Lineage: Bacteria; Pseudomonadati; Bacteroidota
Description: bacterial SSU rRNA
Rfam family: Bacterial small subunit ribosomal RNA
Source: RNAcentral
GCAUGGUCUUAGCUUGCUAAGACUGAUGGCGACCGGCGCACGGGUGCGUAACGCGUAUGCAACUUGCCUCACAGAGGGGGAUAACCCGUCGAAAGACGGACUAAUACCGCGUACACUCUAUGUUGGGCAUCCAAUGUAGAGGAAAUGAAAUUCGCUGUGAGAUAGGCAUGCGUCCCAUUAGCUAGUUGGUGAGGUAACGGCUCACCAAGGCGACGAUGGGUAGGGGAACUGAGAGGUUGAACCCCCACACUGGUACUGAGACACGGACCAGACUCCUACGGGAGGCAGCAGUGAGGAAUAUUGGUCAAUGGGCGAGAGCCUGAACCAGCCAAGUCGCGUGAAGGAUGACUGUCUUAUGGAUUGUAAACUUCUUUUAUACGGGAAUAACAAGAGUCACGUGUGACUCCCUGCAUGUACCGUAUGAAUAAGCAUCGGCUAACUCCGUGCCAGCAGCCGCGGUAAUACGGAGGAUGCGAGCGUUAUCCGGAUUUAUUGGGUUUAAAGGGUGCGUAGGCGGCCUGUUAAGUCAGCGGUGAAAUCUAGGAGCUUAACUCCUAAAUUGCCAUUGAUACUGGCGGGCUUGAGUGUAGAUGAGGUAGGCGGAAUGCGUGGUGUAGCGGUGGAAUGCAUAGAUAUCACGCAGAACUCCGAUUGCGAAGGCAGCUUACUAAGGUACAACUGACGCUGAAGCACGAAAGCGUGGGUAUCAAACAGGAUUAGAUACCCUGGUAGUCCACGCAGUAAACGAUGAUAACUGGGCGUAUGCGAUAUACAGUAUGCUCCUAAGCGAAAGCGUUAAGUUAUC